GUGCUCACUUCAGUAGCACCUAUACUAAAGGUACAAUAAAACAGAAAGGAUUAGCAUGUCCCCUGGGCAAGGAUAACACAAAUUCAUGAAGCAUUCCAUAAAAUUUU
Small nuclear RNA from Dromiciops gliroides (monito del monte), 107 nucleotides. The record is from RefSeq and is a predicted model, not a curated record. NCBI's taxonomy places the organism in Eukaryota, Metazoa, Chordata, Mammalia, Microbiotheria, Microbiotheriidae.